CGGUCGGAGAUGGCUCCGUUGAACACUCCUUUAAGAACAAGGGUGCUGCGAAGACACAGACCCCUUCCUCUAGCGCCAAUCCUGUUGGUGCAAAAAUCUGCUUGCGCCGGAGAAGCUGGAGUCGGAGAAGCCGCGGUCGCCGUCGGGACCUACAAAGGAAGUCUAAACCGGAGGUGGGGUUGCUCCAGCAAGACCCUCCGACGCUCUAGUCAGUUC
Molecule: long non-coding RNA, 216 nt
Filed under: Elaeis guineensis (African oil palm)
Lineage: Eukaryota; Viridiplantae; Streptophyta; Magnoliopsida; Arecales; Arecaceae
Description: long non-coding RNA (EGUI_LNC027737)
Source: RNAcentral